Molecule: ribosomal RNA, 2243 nt
Filed under: Dasania phycosphaerae
Lineage: Bacteria; Pseudomonadati; Pseudomonadota; Gammaproteobacteria; Cellvibrionales; Spongiibacteraceae
Description: Bacterial large subunit ribosomal RNA
Rfam family: Bacterial large subunit ribosomal RNA
Source: Rfam by way of RNAcentral
AGUUGCAGGCAUUAGACCCGAAACCCGGCGAUCUACCCAUGGCCAGGUUGAAGAUUGAGUAACAUCAAUUGGAGGACCGAACCCACGUAUGUUGAAAAAUGCGGGGAUGAGCUGUGGGUCGGAGUGAAAGGCUAAUCAAGCCGGGAGAUAGCUGGUUCUCCUCGAAAUCUAUUUAGGUAGAGCGUCAUGUCUUACCCGCGGGGGUAGAGCACUGUUUGGGCUAGGGGGUCAUCCCGACUUACCAACCCCAUGCAAACUCCGAAUACCGCGGAGUACAAUCAUGGCAGACACACGGCGGGUGCUAACGUCCGUCGUGGAGAGGGCAACAACCCAGACCGCCAGCUAAGGUCCCUAAAUACUAUUAAGUGGGAAACGAUGUGGGAAGGCUCAGACAGCUAGGAGGUUGGCUUAGAAGCAGCCAUCCUUUAAAGAAAGCGUAAUAGCUCACUAGUCGAGUCGGCCUGCGCGGAAGAUUUAACGGGGCUAAAUAGUAUACCGAAGCUGCGGAUGCACUUUGUGCAUGGUAGAGGAGCGUUCUGUAAGCCUGCGAAGGUGAACUGAGAAGUUUGCUGGAGGUAUCAGAAGUGCGAAUGCUGACAUGAGUAACGAUAAAGGGAGUGAAAAACUCCCUCGCCGGAAGACCAAGGUUUCCUGCCCCAUGCUAAUCAGGGCAGGGUUAGUCGGCCCCUAAGGUGAGGCUGAAGAGCGUAAUCGAUGGGAAACAGAUUAAUAUUUCUGUACUUCUUAUAACUGCGAUGGAGGGACGGAGUAGGCUAGGCUAGCGCGGCGAUGGUUGUCCGCGUUUAAGGUUGUAGGCUGGUGACUUAGGUAAAUCCGGGUCGCUAAGGCUGAGAGCUGAUGACGAGUGAUCUUUUACGAUCGCGAAGUAGUUGAUGCCAUGCUUCCAAGAAAAGCUUCUAAGCUUCAGGUUAUGAGGAACCGUACCCCAAACCGACACAGGUGGUCAGGUAGAGAAUACCAAGGCGCUUGAGAGAACACUGGUGAAGGAACUAGGCAAAAUGGUACCGUAACUUCGGGAGAAGGUACGCUCCCUUUGGUGAUCGAAUUUACUUCGUAAGCUGAGGGGAGUCGAAGUGACCAGGUGGCUGCAACUGUUUAUUAAAAACAUAGCACUCUGCAAACACGUAAGUGGACGUAUAGGGUGUGACGCCUGCCCGGUGCCGGAAGGUUAAUUGAUGGGGUUAUCUUCGGAGAAGCUCUUGAUCGAAGCCCCGGUAAACGGCGGCCGUAACUAUAACGGUCCUAAGGUAGCGAAAUUCCUUGUCGGGUAAGUUCCGACCUGCACGAAUGGCGUAAUGAUGGCCACGCUGUCUCCACCAGUGACUCAGUGAAAUUGAAAUUGCGGUUAAGAUGCCGUAUACCCGCGGCUAGACGGAAAGACCCCGUGAACCUUUACUAUAGCUUCGCAGUGGACUUUGAAAUGUUUUGUGUAGGAUAGCUGGGAGGCUUUGAAACCGUGUCGCCAGAUACGGUGGAGCCAAUCUUGAAAUACCAGCCUGAUCAUUUUGAGGUUCUAACCUAGGUCCAUUAUCUGGAUCGGGGACAUUGUGUGGUGGGUAGUUUGACUGGGGCGGUCUCCUCCCAAAGAGUAACGGAGGAGUACGAAGGUGCACUAAUCACGGUCGGAAAUCGUGAGGUUAGUAUAAUGGUACAAGUGCGCUUGACUGCGAGACUGACAAGUCGAGCAGGUACGAAAGUAGGUCAUAGUGAUCCGGUGGUUCUGUAUGGAAGGGCCAUCGCUCAACGGAUAAAAGGUACUCCGGGGAUAACAGGCUGAUACCGCCCAAGAGUUCACAUCGACGGCGGUGUUUGGCACCUCGAUGUCGGCUCAUCACAUCCUGGGGCUGAAGCCGGUCCCAAGGGUAUGGCUGUUCGCCAUUUAAAGUGGUACGCGAGCUGGGUUUAGAACGUCGUGAGACAGUUCGGUCCCUAUCUGCCGUGGGCGUUAGAAAAUUGAGAAGAGCUGCUCCUAGUACGAGAGGACCGGAGUGGACGAACCCCUGGUGUUCCGGUUGUAUCGCCAGAUGCAUUGCCGGGUAGCUACGUUCGGACAGGAUAACCGCUGAAAGCAUCUAAGCGGGAAGCCCCCUUCAAGAUAAGUUUUCUCUGAGACUUUAAGUCUCCUGUAGGGCCGUUGAAGACUACAACGUUGAUAGGCUGGGUGUGUAAGCGUUGUGAGGCGUUGAGCUAACCAGUACUAAUUGCCCGUGAGGCUUGACCAU